GAUGAACGCUGGCGGCGUGCCUAAUACAUGCAAGUCGAGCGAAUGGAUUAAGAGCUUGCUCUUAUGAAGUUAGCGGCGGACGGGUGAGUAACACGUGGGUAACCUGCCCAUAAGACUGGGAUAACUCCGGGAAACCGGGGCUAAUACCGGAUAACAUUUUGAACCGCAUGGUUCGAACUUGAAAGGCGGCUUCGGCUGUCACUUAUUGAUGGACCCGCGUCGCAUUAGCUAGUUGGCGAGGUAACGGCUCACCAAGGCAACGAUGCGUAGCCGACCUGAGAGGGUGAUCGGCCACACUGGGACUGAGACACGGCCCAGACUCCUACGGGAGGCAGCAGUAGGGAAUCUUCCGCAAUGGACGAAAGUCUGACGGAGCAACGCCGCGUGAGUGAUGAAGGCUUUCGGGUCGUAAAACUCUGUUGUUAGGGAAGAACAAGUGCUAGUUGAAUAAGCUGGCACCUUGACGGUACCUAACCAGAAAGCCACGGCUAACUACGUGCCAGCCGCCGCGGUAA
RNAcentral lists this ribosomal RNA (515 nucleotides) under uncultured bacterium. RNAcentral describes it as "partial 16S ribosomal RNA". It matches the Rfam family "Bacterial small subunit ribosomal RNA", at positions 28 to 523 of the family's 1533-position model. The record is from RNAcentral.